This 1686-nucleotide long non-coding RNA is filed under the name Equus caballus (horse). Its description in RNAcentral is "lncRNA (ENSECAG00000059196.1)". The record is from RNAcentral. Lineage: Eukaryota; Metazoa; Chordata; Mammalia; Perissodactyla; Equidae.
AAAAAAAAAUUUAAGGAAGGGGAGUCGAUGCUAGGUCAAUUAGCACAGCCGGGGGAGCAAGGGAGCAGAACCCCCAGCGCCGCGGCCGGCGCAGCCCGUUAACUCAAGUCUGCGGGGGUGUCCCGCCCCGGGCGGGGGGAGCGCUGACCGGCAGAAGUUUGCCGCCGGGGUGCCGGGAGGUGCGCGCAGAGCGGGGUGACUAGGGGCUUCCCCCUUGAAACAAGUGAAGGCGAUGGUUAGUGCUGUCAAUCUUGGCAAUCAGUGUGAGCGGCCAUGUCGUAAGUAUUCAAAGCAUUUCCCGUCGUGCAACAUCAGAAAGUGAGUGGCCAGGGCAUUGAUCUGAGCGAGGGAGAGGAGGCAGGGCUCCCCUCCCAGACAACACAGGCAAAGACAAGAGAGCGCCGAAGAGAGAGAGGGCAGAGAUCGGCGAGAGCGGAGGUUGGAAGUGGAGAAAGCGCCUGGGAAGAGAGGGCGAAGCGACUGCUAGGAGAGAAUUGGAAGAGGAUAAAGAAGGAGAGUUGGGGUCAGAGGGGAAUGGUAACAAGUAUUAGGUGGGAGAGAGAGAGACCGAGGAGUAAAGGACCCAAGGCUGGGAAUGCUGGGAGGAGGAGUCAAGAGGAAGGCAAACUGAAGUGGGGAAAAGGUAGACGACUGAGGAGAAAGAAAGGAGCAAUGUGGAGAAAAGGAGGAAGUAACGUAGGAGACAAAAAUGUAGGGAUGGUAGUUUGUGCUUUGAAAAAGUUAUGACAGAGAAGGAAUAGGCUGAAUGUUAAGAAGAACUGAGAUGAAGAACUGGACAACAAGAGUGAGUCAUGGGAGAUACAGAGAAGGGGAAGGAGAGGGACCGAAGCAGGAAGAAGGAAAGAAGGGUGAAUAUCAGGAUGAAUAAGAAGAAGAAAGAAGGAAAUGAAAAAGAGAAGUUGUCAAAAAAUAGUAAAGAAAGAGAUGCAGGAAGCAGGGAUAAAAGAAAACACACCGGCUAGUAGGAGCUCAGUAAAUGGAGGAAGAGAAAUUUAUUUUAAAAGAUGGAGGAGGAAGAAUUGAAAGAAAAAAAAAAAGAAAAACCAAUUGACAUAGGAAAUUUUCACCACAUGUAGGUGGCAAUUUUCUGGAGGCCAUGUGGAUUAUGGAGUUUAUGGGUUAAAAUUAUUAGAAGUAACAAGACAUGUACCAACUGCCAAAGAAAAAUGACUAUACCUUUACAACAAUAAAUAAAAUAGUUUUACAUUUAUUAUAUGGAUUAGUUUGUGUUAGGUGGAAUUUGAUGGGUGAUGUAUGUGUAUUAUCUCAACUUUGUAGAGGAAAAGAUUUGGAGAAAAAAUUUCAAGAAGAGUGGUUGGAAGUUGUAGAAAAUGAAGAGUGUCAGUCACCCAGGACAGCAUGUAAAAACAAGUAAGUUAGACGUAGAAAAUUAUGUUAUUAAAAGCCCUCCCCCCAAAAAACCCUACAUAAAUUAAAGAUUCUGUUUGAUGCAUGUGUAGGGUACAUAAAAGAUUUGAAGGAUAUAGAAUGGCCUAAAGGAGCAGAGACCUGGAACUUGAUCUCAGUGCAAAAAAGCUGGAAGACUGGGAGAAGAGGAAAUACUGUUGAUGUCAGGUAGUAGAGAUGCAGAGUAAAAGAGACAGAGAGAAGACCAGCUUUGACAAUAGGAGACACAGAGCUAACUAGAGGCAGUGUGCAUGGAGG